ACAAUAGUUAUAUUGUUGAUUUACUGGCAAGAUUAUACAGAAGGUAAAAGUUACAGCUAAUUUACUACUGCAUUGGUUAGCUUGCAUGCUAAGUUUGUAUAUUGCACAAUUAUAUUUUUGAUUUACUGGCAAGUUUAUAUAGAAGGUAAAAGUUAAUUAGAGGAACACAUUAUAUUUUAGAAAGGACAGAUUUGUCUUCGACAUAUACAUGUAUUAUGACAAGUUAGCCAGACUGAUGUUUUUAUCUUGUCAAUUUUAUUUUGAGGAAGUUUUGCAUAUCUGUUGCACAUGUUUCAGAAGACAAUAAUACCAUUAUAUAAAUGAAAGGAUAUAUGGAGUUAAAUUUACCGUCAGUGUAUUGAAGACGAAUUCCAUUUCAUAUUAGUGUGUCAAAAAUAUAAGGAACUUGGAGUAAAAUUCAUAUAAAAGAAAUAUUACUGGUCUAGACCAAGUGUGUUUAAAUUUGUUGAACUUUUAAGUUUAAAGAACAUCAAACAGUUAACCAAUUAGGAAAAUACAUUUUUACUGCUUUUAAAAUCAGAGACAAUAUUACAUGAACAUUCUCUGUCUGUUUACUUGUUUACUAACUAUAAAAAUUUCUAUUGACAACGAUGAACUGGAAAGUUUAAGGUAAUAAAGAAUUAGGUUAACUGCUGUGAGAUAGAAAUACUAAAGAAUAUAUAUUUUUUUAAAAAGACGCAAUGAUGUGCAUAACUUUGUAAAGGACAAAAAAUCUCUUUCUCUUUGCAUUUAUCCAUUUCUAGUUGACUUUGCAUAAUUUAUUUCAGCUAUUUUUAUGCCCCAUUUAUGGGCAUUAUGUUUUCUGGUCUGUGCGUCCGUUUCGUCCGCUGUCCGCUUCAGGUAAAGUUUUUGGCGAGGUAGUUUUGAUGAGUUGAAGUCCAAUCAACUUGAAAACUUAGUAUACGGUCCCUAUGAAUGAUGCCAAAUCCCAAUUCACUGAACAUCAAUUUCAGGUUAAAGUUUUUGGCUUAAAUUUUGUCAGGUAGUUUUUGAAUCAAUCAAAAACUUUAUACAUGUGCCCUAUGAUAUGACUGCCAAAUCCCCCAAUUACGUUACUGACAUAGAAUGAUAGUGCAAUUCAGGUAAAGUUUUUGGCUUCAGGUUUAAGUUUUUGGUCAAGGUUUUUUGAAGUUGAAGUCCAAUCAACUUGAAACUUAGUAUACAUGUCCCUAUAUAUUUUUCUAAUUUAAAUGCAAUUAGAGUUUUGACCCCAAUUUUACGGUUCACUGAACAUAGAAAAUGAUAGUGCAAAUUUCAGGUUAAAGUUUGGCUUCAGGUUAAAGUUUUGGUCAAGUAGUUUUGAUGAAGUUGAAGUCCAAUCAACUUGAACUUAGUACAUGUGCCCUAUGAUAUGAUCUUUCUAAUUUAAAUGCCAAAUUAGAGUUUUGACCCCAAUUUUACGGUUCACUGAACAUAGAAAAUGAUAGUGCAAAUUUCAGGUUAAAGUUUUUGGCUUCAGGUUAAAGUUUUUGGUAGGUAGUUUAUGAAGUUGAAGUCCAAUCAACUUGAAAUUAGUAUACAUGGCCCUAUGAUAUGAUCUUUCUAUUUAAUGCCAAAUUAGAUUUUUACCCUAUUUCACGGUCCAUGGAACAUGGAAAAUGAUUGAGUGGGGCAUCCGUGUACUUUGGACACAUUCUUGUUUAGUCUGCUCUAUCUCGUUUCUUUAUAGAGGACCCAUAUUUUUUAUAUUGGCUAUGAUUUUUAUUCACAAUUUUCCAACUACUGCAAGUUGCAAAAAAUGAAUCCCGUGAACACAAAAAUUAGUUCUGGUAUAGUACAUAUCUUAUCAUGUUUUAUUUUGAUUACAGGUUUUAUGAAAAGGGAACCAGAAGAAUGUAUUUUUAGAACAUUACAAGACCAGGGAAAGUUAUAUUACUCAGGUGACAUGUUUGAUAGCUGGAUAUAUUUCAGUCCAAUUGAUUUGAAGGAUAGAGAAUGGUAUGAACAGGUAUUUAUAAUUCUAACAUUGAUUGUUUGAAGGAGACUGGAUAAAAUUGAGAAUGGAAAUGGGGGAUGUGCCAAAGAGACAACAACCCAACCAUAGAGCAGACAACAGCAGAAGGUCACCAACAGGUCUUCAAUGCAACGAGAAAUUCUCGCACCCGGAGGCGUCCUUCAGCUGGCCCCUAAUCAAAUAUAUACUGGUUCAGUGAUAAUGAACACCAUUCUAAACUCCAAAUUGUACACAAGAAACUAAAAGUUAAAAUAAUGCAAGACUAACAAAGGCCAGAGG
This 2254-nucleotide long non-coding RNA is filed under the name Mytilus galloprovincialis (Mediterranean mussel). Lineage: Eukaryota; Metazoa; Mollusca; Bivalvia; Mytilida; Mytilidae. The record is from RNAcentral.